RNAcentral lists this ribosomal RNA (433 nucleotides) under uncultured bacterium. RNAcentral's name for it is "partial 16S ribosomal RNA". It matches the Rfam family "Bacterial small subunit ribosomal RNA", at positions 29 to 507 of the family's 1533-position model. The record is from RNAcentral.
AACGAACGCUGGCGGCAUGCCUAACACAUGCAAGUCGAACGAGACCUCCGGGUCUAGUGGCGCACGGGUGCGUAACGCGUGGGAAGCUGGCCUUAUGUUCGGAAUAACUCCCCGUAAGGGGUGCUAAUGCCGGAUAAUGUCUUCUGACACAAGAUUUAUCGCCCUUGGGUGGGCCCGCGUUGCAUUAGCUGGCUGGUAGGGUAAAAGCCUACCAGGGCGAGGAUACAUAGCUGGUCUGUGAGACAGGUCAGCCACGCUUAGAGUGGGACGCGGUACGGACUCCUACGGGAGGGAGGAGUGGGGGAUAUUGCACUAUGGGCGGAGUCCUGAACCAGCUAUGCCUCGAAAGUGAUGUAGUCCGUAAAGUUGUAAAGCUCUUUUACCCGGGAUGAUAAUGACGGUACCGAGAGAAUAAGCACCGGCUAACUCCGUG